UACUACGGAGAGUUUGAUCCUGGCUCAGGACGAACGCUGGCGGCGGGCUUAACACAUGCAAGUCGAACGAGAAAGGGGCCUUCGGGCCCUGAGUAAAGUGGCGCACGGGUGAGUAACGCGUAGGCAAUCUGCCCUCAGGCGGGGAAUAACCACGGGAAACCGUGGCUAAUACCACAUAACGUCGGAGGUCCGCAUGGACCACCGACCAAAGGCUUCGGCCACCUGAGGAUGAGCCUGCGUCGGAUUAGCUAGUUGGUGGGAUAACAGCCCACCAAGGCAACGAUCCGUAGCGGGUCUGAGAGGAUGAUCCGCCACACUGGCACUGAGACACGGGCCAGACUCCUACGGGAGGCAGCAGUGAGGAAUAUUGCGCAAUGGAGGAAACUCUGACGCAGCCACGCCGCGUGCAGGAAGACACCCCUCAGGGGCGUAAACUGCUUUUGUACGGGAAGAACACCUCCUCUCGGGGAGGUCUGACGGUACCGUACGAAUAAGGACCGGCUAACUCCGUGCCAGCAGCCGCGGUAAUACGGAGGGUCCAAGCGUUGUCCGGAAUCACUGGGUGUAAAGGGUGCGCAGGCGGGCUUGUAAGUCAGGGGUGAAAGCCACCGGCCUAACCGGUGAAUUGCCCUUGAUACUGCAAGUCUUGAGUCCCGGAGAGGCUAUCGGAAUUCGUGGUGUAGCGGUGAAAUGCGUAAAUAUCACGAGGAACACCUAAUGCGUAGGCAGAUAGCUGGACGGGUACUGACGCUCAGGCACGAAAGCGUGGGGAGCGAACAGGAUUAGAUACCCUGGUAGUCCACGCCGUAAACGAUGGAUGCUCGAUGUUGCACCGCUUCAGGUGCAGUGUCUAAGCUAACGCGUUAAGCAUCCCACCUGGGGAGUACGAUCGCAAGGUUGAAACUCAAAGGAAUUGACGGGGGCCCGCACAAGCGGUGGAGCAUGUGGAUUAAUUCGAUGCAACGCGAAGAACCUUACCCAGGCUCGAACGCUACCGGACAGGUCCUGAAAGGGACCCUUCUUCGGACUGGUAGCGAGGUGCUGCAUGGCUGUCGUCAGUUCGUGUCGUGAGAUGUUGGGUUAAGUCCCGCAACGAACGCAACCCCUAUCGCUAGUUACCAGCGGGUUAUGCCGGGGACUCUAGCGAGACUGCCUGCGCAAGCAGUGAGGAAGGUGGGGACGACGUCAAGUCAUCAUGGCCCUUACGCCUGGGGCUUCACACGUGCUACAAUGGCCGGUACAAUGGGCAGCCACUCCGCGAGGAGGAGCGAAUCCAUAAAGCCGGUCUCAGUUCGGAUCGGAGUCUGCAACCCGACUCCGUGAAGCUGGAAUCGCUAGUAAUCGCGUAUCAGCAACGACGCGGUGAAUACGUUCCCGGGCCUUGUACACACCGCCCGUCAAGCCAUGGAAGUUGAGGGCGCCCGAAGUCCGUGACCCAACCCCUCGGGGAGGGAGCGGCCGAAGGUGAACUCAGUGACUGGGGCUAAGUCGUAACAAGGUAGCCGUACCGGAAGGUGCGGCUGGAUUACCUC
RNAcentral lists this ribosomal RNA (1532 nucleotides) under Rubrivirga marina. RNAcentral describes it as "bacterial SSU rRNA". It matches the Rfam family "Bacterial small subunit ribosomal RNA". The record is from RNAcentral. Lineage: Bacteria; Pseudomonadati; Rhodothermota; Rhodothermia; Rhodothermales; Rubricoccaceae.